AAAAGUCUCAGUUCUUACAACUGGAAAAUGAAAGAGCUGGCCCAGAUCUAACUGAGAGUCUCUUCCACCUCAAAGGACUCUCAGAGACCACUGAGUGCAGCCUUUGCCAGAACCAGAAUCCCUGCCAAGAAUUCUUGCCAACAUAAUCAUCCAGCCUUCACGUGGACUUCAGCAACUCAUGAAGAAAGGCCUGUAUCAAUGGAGAGAAUAUCCACACUGAAGAAAUGAGUAUUGAAAGUAGCUCCUCCACAUCUGACAUUGCUGAAUUAAAAUAAAUGCUUGUGCAAUAUACCAAAAAUAAAUAAAUAAAUAAAA
Non-coding RNA from Phascolarctos cinereus (koala), 315 nucleotides. The record is from RefSeq and is a predicted model, not a curated record. Lineage: Eukaryota; Metazoa; Chordata; Mammalia; Diprotodontia; Phascolarctidae.